Molecule: long non-coding RNA, 2484 nt
Organism: Lutra lutra (Eurasian river otter)
Lineage: Eukaryota; Metazoa; Chordata; Mammalia; Carnivora; Mustelidae
Exons: 2
Source: RefSeq, a predicted model, not a curated record
CUGAUCCACACUAUCUGAUCACUCUCUUCUACUUCUUUUAUCUUUGCUUUGUGCCUCUCUGUCACUCCCAACCCCAAAUAAGGGGAGUCAAUGUCCUAAUUGCCUUCCUCCCUGGCAUGUUAGUUGGGAAAGGCAGAAGAGGAGCAUCGUUUUAAACAUGUCAUUGAACCCAUGAGAAAGAGAGGGCCAGCCCUUUGUUCCAGAAGCAAAUCAGAAACUGAAACCCGGAACUCUUGAACAGUUGGUAUUGGUGUGUGGUGGUGUAGGGGGAAAGGGCAGUACUCCAGAAUCUAGGGGCUUAGGUUUUAGACAAGCUAAGGGGUUUGUUUUAGGCUUUAGACAAGCUAAGGGGCUAGGUUUUAGACAAUCUAGGGGCUUAGGUCUUAGACAAACAGAGAACUUGGGCUGCUAUAGAUGGGAGUUGAGACUGAAACCAAUCCCUUUACCACAAGCUAAGACUCUCAAAAAGAAUGGACUAGAAAAAAAAAAAAAAUCCAUGCCCCGUCAUAUGUAUCUAGCCAUUGAAUAGAUGAAAAAAGUCUUUCCUAAUAAGUAAUAAUCAUAGGGUUAUGCCAACCAUUAAAUAACAUAUAUUUUCUUAAUACACACAAGGAACAUUUAUACAAUAGGAACUGACCAAAUACUAGACAAUAAAAGAAGUCCUGCCAUAUAACAAAGAAGCAACGGCAUACUGACUUAGUUUUCUGAUCAAAAUACAAGUCAACAAAAUCAGAAAUCUGUAACAAAAACAUAAAAAAAAGAAUCCAUUUGGAAAUUUUAAGGCACACUUAUGUGAAUUCAUGGGACAAAGAAGAAAUCAUAAGAAAAACUAUAAAGCAUUUAGAAUCAAACAAUAGUAAAACACCAAAUAUCAAACUUGUGGGAAAAAGCUAAAGUAAUACUUAGAAAUACAUUUAUGUUCUCAAGUGCAGUCAUUAGCAAUCAAAAAGGAUUUGAAAUAAAACCUCUGGGGGGUGCCUGGGUUGCUCAGUCUGUUAAGGAUCCAACCCUUGAUCUCAGCUUAGGUCUUGAUCUCAGGGCCAUGAGUUCAAACCCCAUGUCUGGCUCUAUGCUGGGUGUGGAGCCUACUUUAAAAAAAUUAAUAAAGUAGAAUCUCUGGAUAUAUAUACAUUCCCCCAUUCCUUUAACUAAGUACAACUGCAAACCUCAGACUUUUUAUGUAAAACAAACAUGAGGAACUCUGAAAGGUGGAGAGGAGAAGGAGACAUGAGACAUGAGGAAUGACGUAUGGUGAGCUGCCUGGGUUUUCUUUUUGCCUUGUAUAUCCCAGACUUGAUGCUGAAGAAACCAGCAACCUGGAAACAUAAUGAGUACAGACCAAAAAAAAAAAAAAAAAAAAAGAAAGAAGAGAGAGAGAGACCUCUGCUCUAACCAAAGACCAGAAAAUAGGCAGCCUUGCAAGACAAGAAACUCAGUAACUACUCUGCACCAGUCAGACACCACAAACAAAAAAAUGUGGCCCCACUCACAAUCAAGCUGAAUGGAGGACUUAGACUUGUAUUCUUGCAAAGCUGAAAUUAGGUGCCCCAGCUGGGUGGUGGUCAAGAAUACCAAAUGGAAGCCAGGGCUUCUGUGCUGUCUGGUCAUGAACCCUCUCUCUUACCAUCAGGUUUUAAUGGAGACCACAUAGGGAGCCUGGAUUUCUGCCCCAAUCUGGCAGUAACAAGAUGCCAUCUACUGUCCACUAGAGUGGUAUCAGAGGAAGCCUAAAGUAGGGUUGAGACUUACCAUCACCUAGUGGUAUUGAGUCUACACCCACUGUGGUAUCACUGGAAAAGAAGUGAGGAACCAGACUCUCACUCCUUGUCAUCAGUAAUGAGGAACUGUCUCCCCGCUAGGUAUCAAUAGAGGCUAAGUGGAGUUAAUAGUGGGGGACAAUGGGGAAAUCCCCCUCUCCUUCCUCUGUUGGAAUAGUGUUAAAAAAAAUCCAGCUAAAAUAGAUGGUUUAAGGUCCAGAGUUUCAUAACAUACAAAAAGUCCAAGAUUACAUGAAAAUCACUCAUCAUAUCAAGAACCUGAAGAUCUCAAACUGAAUUUUAUUUUCUUUGACUAUAUUAGCAUUUUAUUUUUAAAAAAUUUUUAUUAUGUUCAGUUAGCCAACAUAUAGUACACCAUUAGUUUUUUAUGUAGUGUUCAAUGAUUCAUUGCAAACUGAAUUUUAAAAGACAAAUCAGUAGAUGCUAACACUAAGAUAACAUAUGAGAAUUCUUAGACAAAGAUUUUUAAAAGAUUUCUAAAAUAAUGGAUCAGUGAGCAAUUGAAGACAUGCAAAAUAGAUUCAGCAGAGAAAUUGAAGGUCUUAGAAACAGAAGAUAAUGGAUAUUUUAGAUCAGAAAAAUAUAAUAACUCUUAUAAAAAGCUCAGCAAAUGGUCUCAACAGCAGAAUGGAGGAGACAGGAAAGAAUCAGUGAAUUGGAAGAUAGGACAACAGAAAUACCCAAUCUGAAUAAUAUAAAAGAAAUA